Molecule: long non-coding RNA, 1258 nt
Filed under: Equus asinus (donkey)
Lineage: Eukaryota; Metazoa; Chordata; Mammalia; Perissodactyla; Equidae
Description: lncRNA (ENSEASG00005036561.1)
Source: RNAcentral
ACUAGGAAGGACCUCGGACUGCGCGGCGCGACGAGGGUAAGUUGUGGGCAGACUGCGCCGCCGCUCGCGGGCGCGCGGCCGCGGUCCCUGUGACACGGAGUGCAGGUCGUUGCCCGGAAGGAAAGGGGAGCUGUGGCUUGGGCUUAUGAAAGAGAAGGUCCGGAAUCACCAUUGGAGGGAAGGGGAAAAGGAACCGACCAGAAUAGCAGGACUGGGAAGAGUGGGGCCCUGCUGCGCUUGUACACACCUCGCAGCAGCUGGGACGCAGGGACAGAUGAGAAGGCCGGGGACGGGGGGGACGCGCUCUGUGCCAGGGAAACAAACAGGAGCCGGGUCCGAGAGGGUACGUGGCGGGCAGACGCCCGGCCUAAGGGAGAGCCUUGCAUCAGGGCAGCGGUCUGGUUUUGGAGGCACUGGGGAUGUUUCCCGGGCAAGGGACCCAAACCACUCGGGCCACGUAAGCAGAAAGGAGAGGGAUUUAUUCUCGGACCCCAGGGUGUAUGGAGGAGCCCAAGGGCAGCGGGACCUAGGGCUGGCCUCAGGAAGUGUCUGGAACCCCAAAGCGCUGCCCAUGGAAGUUAUUCCUCUCCUGAAGACCAGCUCACCCUGCUGCCCAGGCCACAAAGCAAGGCGGAGAGAUGAAGGCAGCGAGAGGAACUGAGCAGAGAUGGACUGGGCCUGGGUCCCACAGGGAGGCAGCGUCACUCCUCCCGCCCUUCUAAAGAGUCCCUAACUGCUGCCUUCAGGGGUUGAGAGGUGGCUGGAGACUCCUGUCCUCCCGAUGCCAGCACUGGAGCCCUUGAUGCUUGGAGCUGCCCCAGCUCCUGCUCCCUGAGGACACAGUUCUCAGCCUGAAGGUCAGCAGUCUUGGAGUCUCCCCAGCAUAUCUGACCCCCUUCCCUAGGGGUCCCCAGAGAACAGGUGAGGCAAAAGACAGGAGCCCCACCCCAUCAAGCUCCUGCAUGCAGGGUCAUAAAGAUGAGGAUCUCUGUCAGAGUGGAACAGUAUGCAAGCCUAGACCAGGAGCGCUCCAGGCAGUGGAGCGUGCUACAUCGUCUGUCACUGGAGGCUGCAUAUCACAUCACAGUGUUUCCUGAAUUUAGUAAGAAGUGCAAAUAAUGCCUUGUUUUGUUUUUUUAAAGAUUGGCCCUGAGCUAAUAUCUGUUGCCAAUCUUUUUUCUUGUUCUUGUUCUUGUUCUUCUUCUCCCCAAAGCCCCCCAGUACACAGUUGUAAGUCCUUCUAGUUGUGGCAUGUGGG